CCACGGCCUCGCGAACGGAUCCGGCGCGGAUCGCCCCCUGCGCGACCAGGGCGUCCGCCUUGGCCGGCGAGCGGUUCCACACCGUCGUCGCGUG
Molecule: transfer RNA, 94 nt
Filed under: Amycolatopsis deserti
Lineage: Bacteria; Bacillati; Actinomycetota; Actinomycetes; Pseudonocardiales; Pseudonocardiaceae
Description: tRNA-Arg
Source: RNAcentral